GUGAACGUUACCAAACUGUUGCCUCGGCGGGAUCUCUGCCCCGGGUGCGUCGCAGCCCCGGACCAAGGCGCCCGCCGGAGGACCAACCAAAACUCUUUUGUAUACCCCCUCGCGGGUUUUUUAUAUCUGAGCCAUCUCGGCGCCUCUCGUAGGCGUUUCGAAAAUGAAUCAAAACUUUCAACAACGGAUCUCUUGGUUCUGGCAUCGAUGAAGAACGCAGCGAAAUGCGAUAAGUAAUGUGAAUUGCAGAAUUCAGUGAAUCAUCGAAUCUUUGAACGCACAUUGCGCCCGCCAGUAUUCUGGCGGGCAUGCCUGUCCGAGCGUCAUUUCAACCCUCGAACCCCUCCGGGGGGUCGGCGUUGGGGAUCGGCCCUUUACGGGGCCGGCCCCGAAAUACAGUGGCGGUCUCGCCGCAGCCUCUCCUGCGCAGUAGUUUGCACACUCGCAUCGGGAGCGCGGCGCGUCCAUUGCCGUAAAACACCCAACUUUCUGAAAUGUUGACCUCGGAUCAGGUAGGAAUACCCGCUGAACUUAAGCAUAUCAAUAAGCGGAG
This 553-nucleotide ribosomal RNA is filed under the name Trichoderma spirale. RNAcentral's name for it is "eukaryotic LSU rRNA". The stretch from base 173 to 326 matches the Rfam family "5.8S ribosomal RNA". Lineage: Eukaryota; Fungi; Ascomycota; Sordariomycetes; Hypocreales; Hypocreaceae. The record is from RNAcentral.